Molecule: regulatory RNA element, 46 nt
Organism: Cavia porcellus (domestic guinea pig)
Lineage: Eukaryota; Metazoa; Chordata; Mammalia; Rodentia; Caviidae
Rfam family: Histone 3' UTR stem-loop
About the family: The mRNAs of metazoan histone genes lack a poly-A tail.
Source: Rfam
CCAAAGGCUCUUUUCAGAGCCACCCACUUUAUCCAAAGAGAGCUGU